GCCAUGAUUGUACAGUAGUUAAUACUCUGCGUUGUGGCCACAGCAACCCCCGGUUCAAAUCCAAAUCAUGGCA
Non-coding RNA from Albula goreensis, 73 nucleotides. NCBI's taxonomy places the organism in Eukaryota, Metazoa, Chordata, Actinopteri, Albuliformes, Albulidae. The record is from the annotation of a GenBank genome assembly.